Molecule: long non-coding RNA, 228 nt
Filed under: Vombatus ursinus (common wombat)
Lineage: Eukaryota; Metazoa; Chordata; Mammalia; Diprotodontia; Vombatidae
Description: lncRNA (ENSVURG00010015302.1)
Source: RNAcentral
GAAUUAGUUAAUUUUUCUAUAGAUUGAGUUGAAGAGUUGUUGGACUUUAAACUUAGAUUUGCAGAUUUGAAUAUUCAAAGCAAUUGAACAUCUGGCAAACUCAGCUUUCUCUUGUACCUUGCUUCAAACUUACGUAUCUUUCACACUGUGCACUGAAUCAGGUAAGAUAAAGGAAAUACUGUAUAUGUUGCAAUAUUCAAUUUUGAACAAAGUCAAAUAUUUCACACU